Electrophorus electricus (electric eel) is the source of this 467-nucleotide non-coding RNA. The record is from RefSeq and is a predicted model, not a curated record. Lineage: Eukaryota; Metazoa; Chordata; Actinopteri; Gymnotiformes; Gymnotidae.
UCUUUGAAACUUUUAUUAGCAACAGCUUUCACGCUCAUAUCAAGCUCGCAGUGGUCAAGGAAGAAGGGCGUCCUGUCGUCGAUGGUCGAAAGUCACCAGAGUGCUUCCUUCACAUCAGUGGGGUUUGGAGCAGAGGCAAGGCCUUGAAGCUCAACCCUCAGAGACUUUUAGACUCUCUGCUAGAAAAGCGCUUGCCUCCUUUAAUGAAGAAGAUGUAAACCAGUUUCAGGUGAAGAGGCUUGUGAAAACAGUAUGAAGCCGACUGGGAAUGGGGCGUUCCUUACCUUAACGAAUACCACAUUUGACCUUGGUUGUAUGUUUUUCUAUGUGUGUCAUGUCUUAUUAUGGAUUUUAUUAGUGUAGUAGUGCAGUGUUUGAGGAAGAUCAGUAGUAAUCUGUAGGUACAGGUUCACUGUUGUAUGAUGACCUCUUGUCUGUAUCUCAGUCAGUCAUGAUGUUUGGGUAUU